This 78-nucleotide microRNA precursor is filed under the name Schistosoma margrebowiei. Its description in RNAcentral is "mir-3492 microRNA precursor family". It matches the Rfam family "mir-3492 microRNA precursor family". The record is from Rfam by way of RNAcentral. Lineage: Eukaryota; Metazoa; Platyhelminthes; Trematoda; Strigeidida; Schistosomatidae.
AGCUUUUCGAAUCCGUGCUGAGAUUUCGUCAGACAACAACGCAUUAGGGCUGAUUAGACUUACAAGAUUGGCAUUGUC